This 406-nucleotide ribosomal RNA is filed under the name uncultured bacterium. Its description in RNAcentral is "partial 16S ribosomal RNA". It matches the Rfam family "Bacterial small subunit ribosomal RNA", at positions 30 to 526 of the family's 1533-position model. The record is from RNAcentral.
AUUGAACGCUGGCGGCAGGCCUAACACAUGCAAGUCGAACGAGUGGCGGACGGGUGAGUAAUUUCUGGGAAACUGCCUGAUGGAGGGGGAUAACUACUGGAAACGGUAGCUAAUACCGCAUACCAUCAGAUGUGCCCAGAUGGGAUUAGCUUGUUGGUGGGGUAACGGCUCACCAAGGCGACUAUCCCUACCUGGUCUUAGAGGAUGACCAGCCAGACUGGAACUGAGACACGGGCCAUACUCCUACGGUAGGCAGCAGGGGGGAAUAUUGCACAAGGGGAGAAAGCCUGAUGCAGCCAUGCCGCGUGUAUGAAGAAGGCCUUCGGGUUGUAAAGUACUUUCAGCGGGGAGGCGUUACCCGCAGAAGAAGCACCGGCUAACUCCGUGACAGCAGCCGCGGUAAUAC